This 403-nucleotide ribosomal RNA is filed under the name uncultured bacterium. RNAcentral describes it as "bacterial SSU rRNA". It matches the Rfam family "Bacterial small subunit ribosomal RNA", at positions 356 to 776 of the family's 1533-position model. The record is from RNAcentral.
GGGGAAUCUUAGACAAUGGGCGCAAGCCUGAUCUAGCCAUGCCGCGUGAGUGAUGAAGGCCUUAGGGUCGUAAAGCUCUUUCGCCAGGGAUGAUAAUGACAGUACCUGGUAAAGAAACCCCGGCUAACUCCGUGCCAGCAGCCGCGGUAAUACGGAGGGGGUUAGCGUUGUUCGGAAUUACUGGGCGUAAAGCGCACGUAGGCGGACUAUUAAGUCAGAGGUGAAAUCCCGGGGCUCAACCCCGGAACUGCCUUUGAUACUGGUAGUCUUGAGUUCGAGAGAGGUGAGUGGAAUUCCGAGUGUAGAGGUGAAAUUCGUAGAUAUUCGGAGGAACACCAGUGGCGAAGGCGGCUCACUGGCUCGAUACUGACGCUGAGGUGCGAAAGUGUGGGGAGCAAACAGG